AAAUGACGGUACCCCAGUAGAAAGCCCCGGCUAACUACGUGCCAGCAGCCGCGGUAAUACGUAGGGGGCGAGCGUUGUUCGGAAUUAUUGGGUGUAAAGGGCGCGUAGGCGGGUUUUUAAGUCACGUGUGAAAAACCCCGGCUCAACUCCGGGGUUGCGUUUGUAACUAGGUGUCUUGAGGGCGGGAGGGGGGGGAGGAAUUCCCCGUGUAGCGGUGAAAAAAGUAGAUAUUUGGAGGAACACCACUGGGGAAGGCGGCUUUCUGGGCCGUUCCUGACGCUGAGGCGCGAAAGCGUGGGGAGCAAACAGGAUUAAAUACCCCCGUAGUCCCCCCCCUAAACGAUGGAUGCUUGGUGUUGGAGGGUCGACCCUUCGUGCCGCAGCUAACGCAAUAAG
RNAcentral lists this ribosomal RNA (396 nucleotides) under uncultured bacterium. Its description in RNAcentral is "partial 16S ribosomal RNA". It matches the Rfam family "Bacterial small subunit ribosomal RNA", at positions 467 to 864 of the family's 1533-position model. The record is from RNAcentral.